Molecule: ribosomal RNA, 552 nt
Filed under: uncultured bacterium
Lineage: Bacteria
Description: partial 16S ribosomal RNA
Rfam family: Bacterial small subunit ribosomal RNA
Source: RNAcentral
UGGGGAAUAUUGCACAAUGGGCGAAAGCCUGAUGCAGCAACGCCGCGUGAGUGAUGAAGGCCUUCGGGUUGUAAAGCUCCUGUCUUUUGGGACGAUAAUGACGGUACCAAAGGAGGAAGCCACGGCUAACUACGUGCCAGCAGCCGCGGUAAUACGUAGGUGGCAAGCGUUGUCCGGAUUUACUGGGCGUAAAGGAUGCGUAGGCGGAUUUUUAAGUGAGAUGUGAAAACCCUAAGCUUAACUUGGGGGACUGCAUUUCAAUACUGGAAAUCUAGAGUGCGGGAGAGGAGAAUGGAAUUCCUAGUGUAGCGGUGAAAUGCGUAGAGAUUAGGAAGAACACCAGUGGCGAAGGCGAUUCUCUGGACCGUAACUGACGCUGAGGCAUGAAAAGCGUGGGUAGCAAAACAGGAUUAGAUACCCUGGUAGUACCACGCCGUAAACGAUGAGUACUAGGUGUAGGAGGUAUCGACCCCUUCUGUGCCGCAGUUAACACAAUAAGUACUCCGCCUGGGGAAGUACGAUCGCAAGAUUAAAAACCUCAAAUGAAUUGAC